RNA transcript from Pyrus x bretschneideri (Chinese white pear), 384 nucleotides. RefSeq lists it as uncharacterized. Lineage: Eukaryota; Viridiplantae; Streptophyta; Magnoliopsida; Rosales; Rosaceae. The transcript is spliced from 2 exons. The record is from RefSeq and is a predicted model, not a curated record.
UCUGCUCACAAAAGCGUGCAAAUCCAUCGGUAAUUACAGUUUCUGGGUUUGUCUUCUGCUAUGCCUGCGUCUUCAAGUAUGUUUCUCAGUAUAAGCGAUGCCCGAUCACAUUGAUUCGUACUACUGUCGACCAGAUAAGGAGGCUCUUUCACGACGUGUAGAAAACCCAGUUGGAUACAUCAAAGGAGAAAUAAUUCAUUAGUUGAGAUGCUGGGAUGCUAGGGUAGCGAUGACUGGCAAAACAAAUAAAUAUUGUAUCGUGGGGAAACCGUAGUAGUCUGGGAAAUGAAAGGAAGAAUGUUGUAUCUUGAUUAUUUGUUGUAUUACUGUAUCCUACACCCUUUGCCAAGAAAGAAGAAUUCCUCUUUUUUCGGUUUUUCGCCA